GGGCUGUGCUGAUCCCGCCAGCCGGGCCCGGCGGGGCAAUCCACAUAGCCUGCGCAGGGGGCGCGGGCCGAGGCUCCCUGGGCGGUCCGUCGGUGCGUCGGUCCGCGCUAGGCACUGGAGACUGUCCCAGAGCGCGGGAGCCGCGGAGCCAGAGGAGGGGAGAACAAGCGCAACAAGGGGCGCCGCUGCGCGCCAGCGAUCGCGGCAAGUGUUUGAGGCGCGGGGACUGCGGGGCGCUGCUGCCUCCCGCCCCCGCCCCUCCCUCUCCGCCCUUCCCCCGCCCGCCUCCCGGAGCGCCCGCCCCGCGCCCAAGCGCCCGCGGGUCGAGGAUGUCUGCCCCGAGCGCGCUCCCGCGGCGCUCCUCCGAGCUCGCGGCGGUGGGAGGCGGGGGCGUGGAGCGGAGUUGGGGGUGGAGGGCGGUGGAAUCCUGCCUGCCUAGCAUCCUUCGCUAACUCGCAGGUUGAGACCAGCAGGUGCCCAAGGGCCAUCCUCUGGGUGUAGAGGAUAUAGGCUCAUUUCAGAACCCUCACGCCUUGUUAGAGCUCUGUCACACGGGCCAGAAACAGGGAACUGGGGUGGAGACUCCUGCAGAACUACUACCCCACACAUUCUCUCCUCACCCUCGUCUGUGCGAGGGGCUGAUUGCACCUAAGGCGAGACGUGACAGGAUCCUCCGGAAUCUUGCUACCGGUGGAGACUUGGAAUUGGACUGGAGCCCAAUGACCAGUAGCAGAACCUGAGAACACGCGCAGGUGAAAGCUCAGAGCGCUCUCACGGCGACACCUGCUGGGUGCGGCAGGUGGUGCAUUCUGGCCUUUUGUCUUUCUGAUCAGAGACACGCAGCCCAAGUUUCAGUUGGAGAAACUGAGGAGGCCUGCUUAGCCUUCCAGACUGCAGUUCUUCAUGCAUACCUUCAUGUACAGCCGCUGUUCACGCAUGCGUCCACGGGCUACUGGCGCCAGCCAUGCUGACAACCGUGGAUUCAAGGAACACGGGAGACCUUGGUCUGGGUACAGCCUGGGGGGGGGGCGCUUUCAGAAUAUGGCCACUACAUUGUUCAACCAAUCUCCAUUGCAAGGAGUUCUCUGUGCGCGCCUUCCUUGCCUCUGGGCAAGCCUGUGAUAGCUUCCUCAUUGACAGGUGCAGAUGAUGGUAAAUGGAUACGUACAGGAGCCCUGUCCAGUAAGCACAUGCAUAGCUUCAGAUGGCACCGGCUGGUGAGAAGGUCACAGGACCGGGGACCGGGCAAUGGGAAAGAGGGUUCUGUGCACUAAAAUGUUUGUUUUAGCUCUGAGGAAGUGGCUGGGCUGUCCGCAGCAGAUCACAGGAUUUGGGCCCAUUAUGGUAGAAGCUAGGAGUGGGUGAAGGAGGAGCAAGGAUGAAGAGAAAGAAAGCCAGUGAUGUGGAGGGAAGAGAGGGGGACUGUAUUCCUAGAAGAGUUUGGAGUCCAAUGGAGACCCUGGAGAAUAAAGCAGGUAACUCA
Mus musculus (house mouse) is the source of this 1483-nucleotide long non-coding RNA. RefSeq annotates it as predicted gene, 30437. The transcript has 2 exons. NCBI's taxonomy places the organism in Eukaryota, Metazoa, Chordata, Mammalia, Rodentia, Muridae. The record is from RefSeq and is a predicted model, not a curated record.